GAGACCCCUGCCUCUAGUUGCUACCAUUAUUCUCAGGAGUAGUGGAGCUAAUUAGAGGGAUUGCCGUCGCUGAGACAGAGGAAGGAGGGGGCUACGGCAGGUCAGUAUGCCCCGAAACCCUCGGGCCACACGCGGGCUGCAAUGGUAAGGACAAUGAGUAUCUAUUCCGAAAGGAGGAGGCAAUCUCUAAACCUUACCACAGUUAUGAUUGAGGGCUGAAACUCGCCCUCAUGAAUAUGGAAUCCCUAGUAACCGCGUGUCACUAUCGCGCGGGGAAUUC
Molecule: ribosomal RNA, 280 nt
Filed under: uncultured archaeon
Lineage: Archaea
Description: partial 16S ribosomal RNA
Rfam family: Archaeal small subunit ribosomal RNA
Source: RNAcentral